ACCUGUUGAGAGGAAAGGAGCCAACCUGGCCUGGUGACCUUCUCUGUGCAAGCAGGGAGCAGGCACACACCACCAAUGAGUGAAGAAGGCUGCUGUGGCAUGCUCGGGACCUAGAGGGAACCUGCCUCAUUGACAGGGGACAGCAGCUGCACAGCUCCAGACAAUCGUUGUCAAGGACGGGAAUGAGAUUCUAACAUGGCUGAUCUGAUUUUUCAAGAAAGAAAUGACUUCUGGCAACUGACAGGCUCCACGUUGAGUGUUCACACUGUGCCCAAUUCUGCCCUGAGCACUUUGCUUGGUUUCUCCACAACAAUAUUGUGAUCAGUAUAAUUACUGUUAUUCCCAUUUUAUAGAUGAGAAAAAUAGUAAUGGAGGAAAUGGAAGGAAAAAGGAUGGCCAUAAGUUGGAGGCAGGUGAAAGACCCAAAUUCAUGGAAGAGAAGUGAGUCACACAGGGAGCCAGUGGCAGAGCCACACCCCACAGAGCAAUCAACAUGCUCUACUCUGCAGACCUGCAACAGGGAGGGAAGCCAGACUCUGAUGCAAGAAGGAAAGACCAUGUGCUGGCUCAGUGUGUGCAGCCUGGACUGAGCUACUGAACUCUAAAUCCAAGGAUGACUAAUGUAAGCCUAAAGGGUAAUCUGCAAAUACUGCUCCAUUAAUAUUCAAUGAUAAAUGAUAUUGCUUUAGAAUCAAAUUCACAUAAACAGAAGCUUCAGCUGUAUGUCCGCACCCUGGGAACAUUAAAUUGUAAGCCACGUCUUGUA
This 766-nucleotide long non-coding RNA is filed under the name Homo sapiens (human). RNAcentral describes it as "NSG2 antisense RNA 1". Lineage: Eukaryota; Metazoa; Chordata; Mammalia; Primates; Hominidae. The record is from RNAcentral.